Molecule: ribosomal RNA, 2673 nt
Filed under: Escherichia coli
Lineage: Bacteria; Pseudomonadati; Pseudomonadota; Gammaproteobacteria; Enterobacterales; Enterobacteriaceae
Description: partial 23S ribosomal RNA
Rfam family: Bacterial large subunit ribosomal RNA
Source: RNAcentral
CAUAGGUUAAUGAGGCGAACCGGGGGAACUGAAACAUCUAAGUACCCCGAGGAAAAGAAAUCAACCGAGAUUCCCCCAGUAGCGGCGAGCGAACGGGGAGCAGCCCAGAGCCUGAAUCAGUGUGUGUGUUAGUGGAAGCGUCUGGAAAGGCGCGCGAUACAGGGUGACAGCCCCGUACACAAAAAUGCACAUGCUGUGAGCUCGAUGAGUAGGGCGGGACACGUGGUAUCCUGUCUGAAUAUGGGGGGACCAUCCUCCAAGGCUAAAUACUCCUGACUGACCGAUAGUGAACCAGUACCGUGAGGGAAAGGCGAAAAGAACCCCGGCGAGGGGAGUGAAAAAGAACCUGAAACCGUGUACGUACAAGCAGUGGGAGCCUCUUUAUGGGGUGACUGCGUACCUUUUGUAUAAUGGGUCAGCGACUUAUAUUCUGUAGCAAGGUUAACCGAAUAGGGGAGCCGAAGGGAAACCGAGUCUUAACUGGGCGUUAAGUUGCAGGGUAUAGACCCGAAACCCGGUGAUCUAGCCAUGGGCAGGUUGAAGGUUGGGUAACACUAACUGGAGGACCGAACCGACUAAUGUUGAAAAAUUAGCGGAUGACUUGUGGCUGGGGGUGAAAGGCCAAUCAAACCGGGAGAUAGCUGGUUCUCCCCGAAAGCUAUUUAGGUAGCGCCUCGUGAAUUCAUCUCCGGGGGUAGAGCACUGUUUCGGCAAGGGGGUCAUCCCGACUUACCAACCCGAUGCAAACUGCGAAUACCGGAGAAUGUUAUCACGGGAGACACACGGCGGGUGCUAACGUCCGUCGUGAAGAGGGAAACAACCCAGACCGCCAGCUAAGGUCCCAAAGUCAUGGUUAAGUGGGAAACGAUGUGGGAAGGCCCAGACAGCCAGGAUGUUGGCUUAGAAGCAGCCAUCAUUUAAAGAAAGCGUAAUAGCUCACUGGUCGAGUCGGCCUGCGCGGAAGAUGUAACGGGGCUAAACCAUGCACCGAAGCUGCGGCAGCGACGCUUAUGCGUUGUUGGGUAGGGGAGCGUUCUGUAAGCCUGUGAAGGUGUGCUGUGAGGCAUGCUGGAGGUAUCAGAAGUGCGAAUGCUGACAUAAGUAACGAUAAAGCGGGUGAAAAGCCCGCUCGCCGGAAGACCAAGGGUUCCUGUCCAACGUUAAUCGGGGCAGGGUGAGUCGACCCCUAAGGCGAGGCCGAAAGGCGUAGUCGAUGGGAAACAGGUUAAUAUUCCUGUACUUGGUGUUACUGCGAAGGGGGGACGGAGAAGGCUAUGUUGGCCGGGCGACGGUUGUCCCGGUUUAAGCGUGUAGGCUGGUUUUCCAGGCAAAUCCGGAAAAUCAAGGCUGAGGCGUGAUGACGAGGCACUACGGUGCUGAAGCAACAAAUGCCCUGCUUCCAGGAAAAGCCUCUAAGCAUCAGGUAACAUCAAAUCGUACCCCAAACCGACACAGGUGGUCAGGUAGAGAAUACCAAGGCGCUUGAGAGAACUCGGGUGAAGGAACUAGGCAAAAUGGUGCCGUAACUUCGGGAGAAGGCACGCUGAUAUGUAGGUGAGGUCCCUCGCGGAUGGAGCUGAAAUCAGUCGAAGAUACCAGCUGGCUGCAACUGUUUAUUAAAAACACAGCACUGUGCAAACACGAAAGUGGACGUAUACGGUGUGACGCCUGCCCGGUGCCGGAAGGUUAAUUGAUGGGGUUAGCGGUAACGCGAAGCUCUUGAUCGAAGCCCCGGUAAACGGCGGCCGUAACUAUAACGGUCCUAAGGUAGCGAAAUUCCUUGUCGGGUAAGUUCCGACCUGCACGAAUGGCGUAAUGAUGGCCAGGCUGUCUCCACCCGAGACUCAGUGAAAUUGAACUCGCUGUGAAGAUGCAGUGUACCCGCGGCAAGACGGAAAGACCCCGUGAACCUUUACUAUAGCUUGACACUGAACAUUGAGCCUUGAUGUGUAGGAUAGGUGGGAGGCUUUGAAGUGUGGACGCCAGUCUGCAUGGAGCCGACCUUGAAAUACCACCCUUUAAUGUUUGAUGUUCUAACGUUGACCCGUAAUCCGGGUUGCGGACAGUGUCUGGUGGGUAGUUUGACUGGGGCGGUCUCCUCCUAAAGAGUAACGGAGGAGCACGAAGGUUGGCUAAUCCUGGUCGGACAUCAGGAGGUUAGUGCAAUGGCAUAAGCCAGCUUGACUGCGAGCGUGACGGCGCGAGCAGGUGCGAAAGCAGGUCAUAGUGAUCCGGUGGUUCUGAAUGGAAGGGCCAUCGCUCAACGGAUAAAAGGUACUCCGGGGAUAACAGGCUGAUACCGCCCAAGAGUUCAUAUCGACGGCGGUGUUUGGCACCUCGAUGUCGGCUCAUCACAUCCUGGGGCUGAAGUAGGUCCCAAGGGUAUGGCUGUUCGCCAUUUAAAGUGGUACGCGAGCUGGGUUUAGAACGUCGUGAGACAGUUCGGUCCCUAUCUGCCGUGGGCGCUGGAGAACUGAGGGGGGCUGCUCCUAGUACGAGAGGACCGGAGUGGACGCAUCACUGGUGUUCGGGUUGUCAUGCCAAUGGCACUGCCCGGUAGCUAAAUGCGGAAGAGAUAAGUGCUGAAAGCAUCUAAGCACGAAACUUGCCCCGAGAUGAGUUCUCCCUGACUCCUUGAGAGUCCUGAAGGAACGUUGAAGACGACGACGUUGA